Molecule: ribosomal RNA, 1542 nt
Filed under: Salmonella enterica subsp. enterica serovar Choleraesuis str. SC-B67
Lineage: Bacteria; Pseudomonadati; Pseudomonadota; Gammaproteobacteria; Enterobacterales; Enterobacteriaceae
Description: 16S ribosomal RNA
Rfam family: Bacterial small subunit ribosomal RNA
Source: RNAcentral
AAAUUGAAGAGUUUGAUCAUGGCUCAGAUUGAACGCUGGCGGCAGGCCUAACACAUGCAAGUCGAACGGUAACAGGAAGCAGCUUGCUGCUUUGCUGACGAGUGGCGGACGGGUGAGUAAUGUCUGGGAAACUGCCUGAUGGAGGGGGAUAACUACUGGAAACGGUGGCUAAUACCGCAUAACGUCGCAAGACCAAAGAGGGGGACCUUCGGGCCUCUUGCCAUCAGAUGUGCCCAGAUGGGAUUAGCUUGUUGGUGAGGUAACGGCUCACCAAGGCGACGAUCCCUAGCUGGUCUGAGAGGAUGACCAGCCACACUGGAACUGAGACACGGUCCAGACUCCUACGGGAGGCAGCAGUGGGGAAUAUUGCACAAUGGGCGCAAGCCUGAUGCAGCCAUGCCGCGUGUAUGAAGAAGGCCUUCGGGUUGUAAAGUACUUUCAGCGGGGAGGAAGGUGUUGUGGUUAAUAACCGCAGCAAUUGACGUUACCCGCAGAAGAAGCACCGGCUAACUCCGUGCCAGCAGCCGCGGUAAUACGGAGGGUGCAAGCGUUAAUCGGAAUUACUGGGCGUAAAGCGCACGCAGGCGGUCUGUCAAGUCGGAUGUGAAAUCCCCGGGCUCAACCUGGGAACUGCAUUCGAAACUGGCAGGCUUGAGUCUUGUAGAGGGGGGUAGAAUUCCAGGUGUAGCGGUGAAAUGCGUAGAGAUCUGGAGGAAUACCGGUGGCGAAGGCGGCCCCCUGGACAAAGACUGACGCUCAGGUGCGAAAGCGUGGGGAGCAAACAGGAUUAGAUACCCUGGUAGUCCACGCCGUAAACGAUGUCUACUUGGAGGUUGUGCCCUUGAGGCGUGGCUUCCGGAGCUAACGCGUUAAGUAGACCGCCUGGGGAGUACGGCCGCAAGGUUAAAACUCAAAUGAAUUGACGGGGGCCCGCACAAGCGGUGGAGCAUGUGGUUUAAUUCGAUGCAACGCGAAGAACCUUACCUGGUCUUGACAUCCACGGAAGUUUUCAGAGAUGAGAAUGUGCCUUCGGGAACCGUGAGACAGGUGCUGCAUGGCUGUCGUCAGCUCGUGUUGUGAAAUGUUGGGUUAAGUCCCGCAACGAGCGCAACCCUUAUCCUUUGUUGCCAGCGAUUAGGUCGGGAACUCAAAGGAGACUGCCAGUGAUAAACUGGAGGAAGGUAGGGAUGACGUCAAGUCAUCAUGGCCCUUACGACCAGGGCUACACACGUGCUACAAUGGCGCAUACAAAGAGAAGCGACCUCGCGAGAGCAAGCGGACCUCAUAAAGUGCGUCGUAGUCCGGAUUGGAGUCUGCAACUCGACUCCAUGAAGUUGGAAUCGCUAGUAAUCGUGGAUCAGAAUGCCACGGUGAAUACGUUCCCGGGCCUUGUACACACCGCCCGUCACACCAUGGGAGUGGGUUGCAAAAGAAGUAGGUAGCUUAACCUUCGGGAGGGCGCUUACCACUUUGUGAUUCAUGACUGGGGUGAAGUCGUAACAAGGUAACCGUAGGGGAACCUGCGGUUGGAUCACCUCCUUA